This 253-nucleotide ribosomal RNA is filed under the name uncultured bacterium. RNAcentral describes it as "partial 16S ribosomal RNA". It matches the Rfam family "Bacterial small subunit ribosomal RNA", at positions 524 to 776 of the family's 1533-position model. The record is from RNAcentral.
GACAGAGGGGGCAAGCGUUGCUCGGAAUUACUGGGCGUAAAGGGCGCGUAGGCGGAAUGGCAAGUCGGUCGUGAAAUCCUUCGGCUCAACCGAAGAACGUCGAUCGAAACUGCCGUUCUUGAGGAUUGCAGAGGAGACUGGAAUUCCACGUGUAGCAGUGAAAUGCGUAGAGAUGUGGAGGAAUACCGAUGGCGAAGGCAGCCUCCUGGGCCAACACUGACGCUCAUGCACGAAAGCGUGGGGAGCAAACAGG